AUGAAUAUCUCUGAUGUUAAGCAUCUUAUCCAGCAGGAGGAAGAGGUUACUGACAUGCCUAUUCAUUACAAUGUGGCAACUGAUCCUUAUAAUGCUGACAUUAAAGUGGGGGCUCUUUUUCCUGACAUUGUAACCUUUAGAAAAGCAAUAAGGCAUCAUGUUGUGGUAAAAGACAUUGAGCUAGCUAAAGUAAGGACUGAUUCUACUAGAUUCAUGGCUAAUUGCUCAUAUCCUAGUUGCCCUUGGCACAUUCAUGCAUCUAGGUUGCGUGACCAACAAGUUGUCAUGAUAAAGAAGAUUCCCUCUGAGCACAAUUGCCCUACUACAAAGCUUGUAGACAGAAGAAUGGCAACCCAAGGUUGGGUUGCAGAGAAGCUUGUUGAUUGGGGGAACAAAAACCCAUGA
RNAcentral lists this ribosomal RNA (405 nucleotides) under Triticum aestivum (bread wheat). RNAcentral's name for it is "partial small subunit ribosomal RNA". Lineage: Eukaryota; Viridiplantae; Streptophyta; Magnoliopsida; Poales; Poaceae. The record is from RNAcentral.